AGUGAACGCUGGCGGUAGGCCUAACACAUGCAAGUCGAACGGCAGCACAGUAAGAGCUUGCUCUUACGGGUGGCGAGUGGCGGACGGGUGAGGAAUACAUCGGAAUCUACUUUUUCGUGGGGGAUAGCGUAGGGAAACUUACGCUAAUACCGCAUACGACCUACGGGUGAAAGCAGGGGAUCUUCGGACCUUGCGCGAUUGAAUGAGCCGAUGUCGGAUUAGCUAGUUGGCGGGGUAAAGGCCCACCAAGGCGACGAUCCGUAGCUGGUCUGAGAGGAUGAUCAGCCACACUGGAACUGAGACACGGUCCAGACUCCUACGGGAGGCAGCAGUGGGGAAUAUUGGACAAUGGGCGCAAGCCUGAUCCAGCCAUACCGCGUGGGUGAAGAAGGCCUUCGGGUUGUAAAGCCCUUUUGUUGGGAAAGAAAAGCAGCAGGUUAAUACCCCGCCGUUCUGACGGUACCCAAAGAAUAAGCACCGGCUAACUUCGUG
Molecule: ribosomal RNA, 492 nt
Filed under: uncultured bacterium
Lineage: Bacteria
Description: partial 16S ribosomal RNA
Rfam family: Bacterial small subunit ribosomal RNA
Source: RNAcentral